Molecule: ribosomal RNA, 228 nt
Filed under: uncultured bacterium
Lineage: Bacteria
Description: partial 16S ribosomal RNA
Rfam family: Bacterial small subunit ribosomal RNA
Source: RNAcentral
GAUCAGCUCAGGACGAACGCUGGCGGCGUGCUUAACACAUGCAAGUCGAACGAGAAUCUGUGGAAAGAGGAUUCGUCCAAUUGAAACAGAGGACAGUGGCGGACGGGUGAGUAACGCGUGAGGAACCUGCCUUUCAGAGGGGGACAACAGUUGGAAACGACUGCUAAUACCGCAUGACACAUUGAGGUCGCAUGGCCUUAAUGUCAAAGAUUUAUCGCUGAAAGAUAG